Molecule: long non-coding RNA, 258 nt
Organism: Eriocheir sinensis (Chinese mitten crab)
Lineage: Eukaryota; Metazoa; Arthropoda; Malacostraca; Decapoda; Varunidae
Exons: 3
Source: RefSeq, a predicted model, not a curated record
AAGAGAUCACAUCGUUAGGUUAAGUUAGGAGGCAAAGUAUUAGACAAAGAAGCAAAAAAAGGAGAAAAAGAGAGAAAGUAGGUGGGGAAUAAGGCAAAUUAAGAGGAGAGAAAGGUAGGAAGACAGGAGGGGAUGGAGAGAGGAGGGAAGAGAUCACAUCGUUAGGUUAAGUUAGGAGGCAAAGUAUUAGACAAAGAAGCAGAAAAGGAGAAAAAGAGAGAAAGUAGGUGGAAAAUAAGGCAAACUGAGAGGAGAGGA